CCUAGGGGGGCUGCAGUGGGGAAUAUUGGACAAUGGGCGAAAGCCUGAUCCAGCCAUGCCGCGUGUGUGAAGAAGGCCUUCGGGUUGUAAAGCACUUUCAGUGGGGAAGAAAGCCUUGGGGCUAAUACCCUCGAGGAAGGACAUCACCCACAGAAGAAGCACCGGCUAACUCCGUGCCAGCAGCCGCGGUAAUACGGAGGGUGCGAGCGUUAAUCGGAAUUACUGGGCGUAAAGCGCGCGUAGGCGGUCUGAUAAGCCGGUUGUGAAAGCCCCGGGCUCAACCUGGGAACGGCAUCCGGAACUGUCAGGCUAGAGUGCAGGAGAGGAAGGUAGAAUUCCCGGUGUAGCGGUGAAAUGCGUAGAGAUCGGGAGGAAUACCAGUGGCGAAGGCGGCCUUCUGGACUGACACUGACGCUGAGGUGCGAAAGCGUGGGUAGCAAACAGGAUUAGAUACCCUAGUAGUC
RNAcentral lists this ribosomal RNA (464 nucleotides) under Vreelandella stevensii. Its description in RNAcentral is "partial 16S ribosomal RNA". It matches the Rfam family "Bacterial small subunit ribosomal RNA", at positions 338 to 795 of the family's 1533-position model. The record is from RNAcentral. Lineage: Bacteria; Pseudomonadati; Pseudomonadota; Gammaproteobacteria; Oceanospirillales; Halomonadaceae.